Molecule: non-coding RNA, 225 nt
Organism: Caenorhabditis elegans
Lineage: Eukaryota; Metazoa; Nematoda; Chromadorea; Rhabditida; Rhabditidae
Source: Ensembl
UUAUGGUACUUGGAAGUUUUCACUGAUUUCCAUGAUUCUUAUAAUUACAUAAUUAAAGACUACGAAUUUAUUAAGACGGAUAAGAGAAGGUAACUUCAGGCGUACGUGUCUGCCUCAUACCUGUCAUUGUACAAGCCUGCCUACUGCGUAUUUACUGCAUUUUAGAACCAUAUAUAUUCAAUUUAUGAAAAUUGAGAUCAAAAAUACGUAGCACGAGGCCGUAGC